GACGAACGCUGGCGGCGUGCCUAACACAUGCAAGUCGAACGGAACGGCCCUGUCUUUGUGGGCUGCUCGAGUUGCGAACGGGUGAGUAACACGUGAGUAACCUGCCCCUGACUUUGGGAUAACUUCAGGAAACUGGGGCUAAUACCGGAUAGGAGCUCCUGCUGCAUGGUGGGGGUUGGAAAGUUUCGUGGGUUGGGGAUGGACUCGCGUUUGAUUAGCUUGUUGGUAGGGUAGUAGCUUACCAAGGUUACGAUGCAUAGCUGGUCGGAGAGGGUGAUCAGCUACAAUGGGACUGAGACACGGCCUAGAAUCGGACGGGAGGCAGGAGUAGGGAAUAUUGGACGAUGGGCGAAAGUCUGAUCCAGCAAUGCGGGGGGAGUGAUGAAGGCGGUAGGGUUGUAAAGCUGUUUUACCCGAGAUGAUAAUGACAGUAACGGGUGAAGAAGCACCGGCUAACUCCGUG
Molecule: ribosomal RNA, 463 nt
Filed under: uncultured bacterium
Lineage: Bacteria
Description: partial 16S ribosomal RNA
Rfam family: Bacterial small subunit ribosomal RNA
Source: RNAcentral